CGGGUCGUCAGGCGGCGGCACGUGGCCCGGCUUGGGCGGCGGGGGUAGGUGGUGGCCUCCCUGCAUGAUUCUCGAGGAAGGACAGUGAGGACCAGCAGUAUCUCGGGAGUGACGUGGAGGAGCAAAUGAUGGGCAGGACAGAGAGUUUUCAUUCAGAUCAGAAGGAGACGAGAAUUUGCAGAUGAGUCCUCCAUCUAAACGAGAAGGAAAAGGAAGGGUCCUUUCCUUCCAAGUUCCACUGGCCACUCCCUAUAAUUGUUCGGGAAGACCUUUCUAGAGUUAUUCGAGAUGGACCAUGGUUUGUGCGAAGGCAAUUCCUAACUAUGCGUAUGUGGGAGCCUCUCUUUAAGCCUUCCAAAGCUACUUUCUCUGCUUUGGCUCUAUGGGGGUCGGCCGCCAAAGCUACCAAUGGAGUCCUACUCCGGACAAAAUUCUCAAGAAGGUGGGUGGCCAGAUCGGGCCGCUGCUUAACAGCCUUGGGAGCAAGAGCACAGUUUGCUAGGUUGUGCAUCCAAGGGGACCUCACAAAGCCCCUGUCUCGGGUCAUAUGGAUAGGAGACCCAUAGGCAAAUCAUCCAAUACGAAGGGAUAGACCAAAUUUGUUUUCACUGCGGAGUUAUUGGGCAAACUCAGACUUAAGUGUCCGGAAAGGCUACCGGGGCCUAGCCCCACCUCCGACAACACCACAACCACCUUUUCGUCUUCUGAUAGCUCGGACAACAAAACCAAUAACCCAGGGCCAUGGAUGCUCGUGUCCAAUCGUCGGAGGUCUAAGCUAACCAAUAACCUAGGGCCAUGGAUGCUAAACAUCGACUACACAAGGUGGAGCACUGCUGAUCAGCGCCGCAACAAAACCCACGAGCAACCACGAAUCUGGGGAAGACGGCUGACGUCAGCCCAUCACGUGCCAAAUCCAUGGGGAAAAAGAAAAAGACAGACGUCACUGGGACACUUGUCGUUCACAGACAGGUCUUGCCACCUCUAGCGGGAGCUAGCAUAGGAGAAGCCUCCAAAAUUCGAAGUAUGCCACCAAGGGACAGCACCCUAGAGAGGGUGCCCGCUGGUACUAUCACCGUACACUCGAAAUUUGGAACGACCACAAGCACGAAGGUGCAAAAUACCCUUCAGCCUGAAAUAAAAGGGCGCACUGGUUCUCCAAAUGCCCAACAAAUCUCAACCAUGGCCCGUUGUACGGUAGCACCCCAAUCAUCAGAGCAGAACAAGCCACCAGUGAAAAUUCCGCUAUGGAUGAAAUGGUCAUAUGCGACUCACCAACCCAAUUGACAGAAGAGGAAAAGGGAAAAACCAACACUACUGCUGAUACUACUGUCCUCCCAUCCACCAACUGUUUCUGAUGGAUCAAGGUCUCCGGACAGGGUAUUGGGGAAGGCUAUUGCGUCACAGGACUCGGGAUGUUCGACCAUAAACCACGGGGAGUUACUUGUCAUAGAAGAGAGAAUCAUCGAGGUUCGUCCCGGAUUCCCAAGAAUGAACGGGUCUCAUAAUCACCGAGGUCCAGCGGAGGCGAUUCUAGCCCUCCACCAACUAUCUCAGGAAAAAGCAGAAGCCAGUCCUGGUCUACCAGUGGUCGAAUAUCUACUGCAGGUAACUGCACCACGGGAAGAGCUGCUGAGAAAUGCACCGAAUCUAUGUAGGCUGGACAUAAGUGUAAGGAUCUAUGAAAUCUACCUAGGUCGGAGCUCCAGGUCCGCAAGGCUUUCUGUUCAAGCCCACAACCAAGCAACGAACUAGCACUUGAUGCCCCAGAUGGUUGGACUCCACCAGACUCCCUUCCUCAUGUUGACAACCAGCAUGGAGAUCAGGCUGUUGAUGAUGCUUCCGAGGAUCCAAGUCGAGUGUAUCUGCAUCUACGUCACGCUUUGGCAUAUGCGAGAGGGGGAGGUAGAAACUUACCUUAGCGUCAACCCAAUGCCUAAUCUCUCCAAUACCCCAGCUGUUCCCAUGAAUAACGAAAUAAGUUGGACACUUGACCAAGCAAUGAAUGCGACAGACCCGGGCAUCUUCCAUAUGAAUAUCUUAGUGUGGAACUGUAGGGGAUCUGGAAGUAGAGAAUUCCGUCUAUCAUUGAUGGACCUUAUACACCAACACACCCUAGACAUCGUCAUAUUGACGGAGACUAGGCUCUCUGGAGAUCGUGCUCAGUAAAUUGCCAGUACAUUCCCCUUCAAUGGCUUUACCUCUGCUCCUGCUUGUGGACUCCUUGGAGGCAUCUGGAUGCUCUAGCGCAUCGAAAGGGUUCAGGUAGAUUUGCUUGUGUCAACAGAGCAGGAGAUUCACACAAUAAUCCAAGUCUCAUAUUCCCCCUUCUCUUGGUUACUUUCGGGCAUCUAUGCAAGUCCUAGAUUAAUGGAAAGAAAGAUUCUUUGGGAAAAUUUGAAGAAGGUUGCACGUGUUUGUCAGCUGCCUUGGGUUGCCUUAGGGGAUUUUAAUGAUAUCACUUCUAGAGAUGAGAAGCUGAGAGGGCCCAACAAUAAUCAUUAUAGAAUUUCUCUUUUUAACAGCA
Punica granatum (pomegranate) is the source of this 2524-nucleotide non-coding RNA. Lineage: Eukaryota; Viridiplantae; Streptophyta; Magnoliopsida; Myrtales; Lythraceae. The record is from RefSeq and is a predicted model, not a curated record.